This 409-nucleotide ribosomal RNA is filed under the name bacterium. RNAcentral's name for it is "partial 16S ribosomal RNA". It matches the Rfam family "Bacterial small subunit ribosomal RNA", at positions 355 to 776 of the family's 1533-position model. The record is from RNAcentral.
UGGGGAAUAUUGCACAAUGGGCGAAAGCCUGAUGCAGCGACGCCGCGUGAGGGAUGACGGCCUUCGGGUUGUAAACCUCUUUCAGCAGGGACGAAGCGCACGUGACGGUACCUGCAGAAGAAGCACCGGCUAACUACGUGCCAGCAGCCGCGGUAAUACGUAGGGUGCAAGCGUUGUCCGGAAUUACUGGGCGUAAAGAGUUCGUAGGCGGUUUGUCGCGUCGUUUGUGAAAACCAGCAGCUCAACUGCUGGCUUGCAGGCGAUACGGGCAGACUUGAGUACUGCAGGGGAGACUGGAAUGCCUGGUGUAGCGGUGAAAUGCGCAGAUAUCAGGAGGAACACCGGUGGCGAAGGCGGGUCUCUGGGCAGUAACUGACGCUGAGGAACGAAAGCGUGGGUAGCGAACAGG